GGCUUAAUUCUCUUAUAACUAUUUAAUAAUUGUCACAAUUGUUCUGAAUUUAUUCAAUAGAUUGAGUUUAUACUUUUGUCCAUCAGAUUAAUACAAUGCUUGAUGUAUAUAGACUGUUGUUUGUCAUAUUGUAUUUUUUAACUUAAUUAUGUCAUAAUAGUUAUUGCUCUCACCCAAAAUUUUCCAUUUAUAUACACUUAUAUACACUAACACCUGCCAUUUUCCAAAUUUAUGCCAACAGAGUCAAAACCUCUACAGAGGAGUAGAAAGAAUGUAAGCCACCUGUACAGCAGAGCUAGCAAGACCUAGAUCCCCUUCCACCACCCAGUACCAUAUUAUAUAAACACCUGCCCAAACUCGUUUGAACAAUGAGCAACCAAAGGUUGCCCAUAUUUUGAUGUUUUUAUAACUGCUUGAUCUAUUAAAAUAUGUCCAAUAUUUUCACACAUAAAACAUGUUAUUAGUUUAUUUUUUGUAACUUAAGCUUGCUAAACUAAGCAUGAUACCACUUUUUACAUCUCCAUGUUUAUAAAAAUAUUACCAUUUUCC
RNAcentral lists this long non-coding RNA (549 nucleotides) under Prunus dulcis (almond). RNAcentral describes it as "sRNA ncRNA". Lineage: Eukaryota; Viridiplantae; Streptophyta; Magnoliopsida; Rosales; Rosaceae. The record is from RNAcentral.